CAACGAAAUGGCGAUGGAGUUCGCCGUAACCGCCCCCACUUCUGGUGGCUGAUGACUCCUGAAGGCGC
This 68-nucleotide non-coding RNA is filed under the name Halothiobacillus neapolitanus. RNAcentral's name for it is "Fluoride sequence". It matches the Rfam family "Fluoride riboswitch aptamer (crcB RNA motif)". Lineage: Bacteria; Pseudomonadati; Pseudomonadota; Gammaproteobacteria; Chromatiales; Halothiobacillaceae. The record is from RNAcentral. RNAcentral also lists the same sequence under 1 other name.